AAGAAAAAGCUUGGUUUUGGUGAUUCAAGCAAGGAACGGAAGUGCAAAGAUAAAGUUAGAGAACUAUGGUGGCAUGCUGGAGUAAAUAACGAGCGACCGGCCAGUGAAAAUAGUUAGAGACACCUCCAAACAAAUAGCGACUUAAAAUCUCAUUGUUGCCAGAUUUAGGGGUGGUUGAGACGUAGAUUGAGGUGUCCAUGUACUCCCAUCUUUUGGGUAGGUACUUUGACAUUUAGUAGUCAUAUCUCCCAUCUAGAGUCACUCCGUUGACGGUCAAGUUCUAAUUAUGUGUAUAUGACUAUUAGUUGUGAAAGGCUGAGAUUCACUUGUUAAAUUAUAUGUAUGUAUAUAAUCGUUGAUGAUGCCAUUAUGAAUACAUGACUAGGUUUUAUGAGUUGUUUCCAAAGGAAUUGUAAUUGAGUAUUAUGAA
This 430-nucleotide small RNA is filed under the name Theobroma cacao (cacao). RNAcentral's name for it is "sRNA Tc04v2_g006420". Lineage: Eukaryota; Viridiplantae; Streptophyta; Magnoliopsida; Malvales; Malvaceae. The record is from RNAcentral.